GCCCGGGUAGCUUAGUUGGAAGAGCGUGGGACUUUUACUCUCACUUGUUUAUCAGCCUGGAUUUAUAUAUUUGUUGUGUAUAGCAGGGCUAUCCCAAGGUCGCGGGUUCGAGCCCCGCCUCGGGCG
Aspergillus candidus is the source of this 126-nucleotide non-coding RNA. The record is from the annotation of a RefSeq genome assembly. NCBI's taxonomy places the organism in Eukaryota, Fungi, Ascomycota, Eurotiomycetes, Eurotiales, Aspergillaceae.